AUGUCUUCAUACCGGAGACAAAUUUGCUAGGUUUGAGUCUUCCUGCAUCAUUCACAUAUACUAUUGGAUUUGCAACCCAAUGGUGAUCAUUUUUCCUUAUUGCUACAUACCAGGGACUAUUUUUACUUACAGGCAUAUUAAACGGUUUAUUCGCACAGACUUACACAUGAACUCGCUCAACUUUUUGUUGACUUUUUAAACUACAUGUAUUUCAGGGAAUUAAUUUGGAUCUGGCAAUGAUGCAUGAUUAGCUGCGUACUAAAUAAGGAUGUCAUCCGGAGUCAUAGGUUUGGGAAGUGUAACUCUUUCCUGGACGAGUUGCAUUGUCUCAAGUCCUUGUGUCGUUGGUAGCUUUUCGUCGAGUCUUAUGAACUCAUUUUUUUUAACAAGUCAUGUUUGUAAACGUAUCAUGUGGUUGAUGUUGUUUCAAAACAAUAUGUUAUGCAUUU
Molecule: long non-coding RNA, 449 nt
Filed under: Helianthus annuus (common sunflower)
Lineage: Eukaryota; Viridiplantae; Streptophyta; Magnoliopsida; Asterales; Asteraceae
Source: RNAcentral